UACUCCUACGGGGAGGCAGCAGUGGGGAAUAUUGCACAAUGGGCGCAAGCCUGAUGCAGCCAUGCCGCGUGUAUGAAGAAGGCCUUCGGGUUGUAAAGUACUUUCAGCGGGGAGGAAGGCGACAGGGUUAAUAACCCUGUCGAUUGACGUUACCCGCAGAAGAAGCACCGGCUAACUCCGUGCCAGCAGCCGCGGUAAUACGGAGGGUGCAAGCGUUAAUCGGAAUUACUGGGCGUAAAGCGCACGCAGGCGGUCUGUCAAGUCGGAUGUGAAAUCCCCGGGCUCAACCUGGGAACUGCAUUCGAAACUGGCAGGCUAGAGUCUUGUAGAGGGGGGUAGAAUUCCAGGUGUAGCGGUGAAAUGCGUAGAGAUCUGGAGGAAUACCGGUGGCGAAGGCGGCCCCCUGGACAAAGACUGACGCUC
RNAcentral lists this ribosomal RNA (423 nucleotides) under Enterobacter sp. RNAcentral describes it as "bacterial SSU rRNA". It matches the Rfam family "Bacterial small subunit ribosomal RNA", at positions 334 to 748 of the family's 1533-position model. The record is from RNAcentral. Lineage: Bacteria; Pseudomonadati; Pseudomonadota; Gammaproteobacteria; Enterobacterales; Enterobacteriaceae.